GAUUACGGUGGUCCGGUCGGGACGUUGCGUCGGGAGGGAAGCUUUUCCGCAACGUCGGGAAGAAGUAACCCCAUCCUUGUACCUGCACACAGGUCAGGUUGGAAGCUCGGCCCGACCCCUCCGACGAUCAAGUUAGUGAUGGGAAGUGGUAUGUUCUUCUGUCCUCAUUCCAUCGUUUAGAACUCGGGGGUAUUUAUAGGGAAGUUUAGUGUUACCUAAUGUGCCUGCCCGUAGGAGCAGGAUCGUACCUCUGAUGGCGUCUGACAUUGCUGUUGGCGUUGCGUGAAGAACCGAACUGCCGCAGGGCAUGGGCGUGCCUCGAUCGUCGUUCUCC
RNAcentral lists this long non-coding RNA (334 nucleotides) under Musa acuminata (dwarf banana). RNAcentral's name for it is "long non-coding RNA (MACU_LNC009773)". Lineage: Eukaryota; Viridiplantae; Streptophyta; Magnoliopsida; Zingiberales; Musaceae. The record is from RNAcentral.